GACAUUUCUAAGUGUCUAUUAU
Molecule: microRNA, 22 nt
Filed under: Schmidtea mediterranea
Lineage: Eukaryota; Metazoa; Platyhelminthes; Tricladida; Dugesiidae
Description: sme-miR-96b-3p
Gene: sme-miR-96b-3p
Source: miRBase by way of RNAcentral